UAGCUGAUCAGCCAUGCCGCGUGUGUGAGAAGGUCUUCGGAUUGUAAAGCACUUUAAGUUGGGAGGAAGGGCAGUAAGUUAAUACCUUGCUGUUUUGACGUUACCAACAGAAUAAGCACCGGCUAACUUCGUGCCAGCAGCCGCGGUAAU
This 150-nucleotide ribosomal RNA is filed under the name uncultured bacterium. RNAcentral describes it as "partial 16S ribosomal RNA". It matches the Rfam family "Bacterial small subunit ribosomal RNA", at positions 380 to 524 of the family's 1533-position model. The record is from RNAcentral.